This 506-nucleotide ribosomal RNA is filed under the name uncultured bacterium. RNAcentral describes it as "partial 16S ribosomal RNA". It matches the Rfam family "Bacterial small subunit ribosomal RNA", at positions 29 to 523 of the family's 1533-position model. The record is from RNAcentral.
AGUGAACGCUGGCGGCAGGCCUAACACAUGCAAGUCGAACGGCAGCACAGGAGAGCUUGCUCUCUGGGUGGCGAGUGUCUGACUGGUGAGGAACACACCGGAAUCUACUUUUUCGUGGGGGAUAUCGUAGGGAACCUUACGCUAAUCCCGCAUACGACCUACGUUUCAAAGCAGGGGACUUUCGGGCCUAGCGCCAUUGAUUGAGCCGAUGUCGGAUUAGCUAGUUGGCGGGGUAAAGGCCUACCAAGGCGACGAUCCGUAGCUGGUCUGUGAGGAUGAUCAGCAACCCUGGAACGGAGACACGGUCCAGACUCCUACGGGAGGCAGCAGUGGGGAAUAUUGGACAAUGGGCGCAAGCCUGAUCCAGCCAUACCGCGUGGGUGAAGAAGGCCUUCGGGUUGUAAAGCCCUUUUGUUGGGAAAGAAAUCCAGCCGGUUAAUACCUGGUUGGGAUGACGUUACCCAAAGAAUAAGCACCGGCUAACUUCGUGCCAGCCGCCGCGGUAA